RNAcentral lists this ribosomal RNA (468 nucleotides) under uncultured bacterium. Its description in RNAcentral is "partial 16S ribosomal RNA". It matches the Rfam family "Bacterial small subunit ribosomal RNA", at positions 28 to 507 of the family's 1533-position model. The record is from RNAcentral.
GACGAACGCUGGCGGCGUGCUUAACACAUGCAAGUCGAACGGAAAGGCCCUGCUUUUGUGGGGUGCUCGAGUGGCGAACGGGUGAGUAACACGUGAGUAACCUGCCCUUGACUUUGGGAUAACUUCAGGAAACUGGGGCUAAUACCGGAUAGGAGCUCCUGCUGCAUGGUGGGGGUUGGAAAGUUUCGGCGGUUGGGGAUGGACUGGCGGCUUAUCAGCUUGUUUGUGGGGUAGUGGCUUACCAAGGCUUUGACGGGUAGCCGGCCUGAGAGGGUGACCGGCCACAUUGGGACUGAGGUACGGACCAGACUCGUACGGGAGGCAGCAGUGGGGAAUAUUGCAGAAUGGGCGGAAGCCUGAUGCAGAAACGCCGCGUGCGGAAUGACGGCUUUCGGGUUGUAAACCGCUUUCGAAUGUGACGAAGCGUGAGUGACGGUAAUGGGUCAAGAAGCACCGGCUAACUACGUG